Molecule: long non-coding RNA, 1809 nt
Organism: Betta splendens (Siamese fighting fish)
Lineage: Eukaryota; Metazoa; Chordata; Actinopteri; Anabantiformes; Osphronemidae
Source: Ensembl
GUUCUGCUCCCACAACCCAGGAAAAUGACUCGUCUGCCCCCUAGCGGCAGUUAGGAGCCUUGCAUUUAUUUGACGCAACAUGCCAAAAACGUGUGUUUGCUUAUUAAUCGCUGAUUGUAAGAUAAACACUUGUUAAGACAAAACGCUGAUACAUAAAUAAAAAAACACGAAUAAUUAACACUAACAAUAAGUUUGUUAUGUGGUUAUGUGCAAUUCCUAUUUUAUUUGGUGUAUUUGUUUCUUCUGUGUGAGGCUGACAUUUAUCUAAUCAAGGGAGGGGGCACUUAGAUUGAUGCGGAUUAAGUGUGGGAUUGGAUGGAGAUGGGAUGAGGGGCUGAUUGAUAAUUGCUGUGAUUGGAAGUGUAAUCCCUCUUUUCCUCUCUCUGUGACACCGCCCACACUCUGGAUUAUUCCAGCCCGGCACACGGGCUGUAUGAGAUGUCCUGAUGUCUGUUCGGUGGAGUGUGAUGGGAACAAAAUGCCGCUAAUGACAAUAACUAGUGGCUGUGUAAGAACAUGGCUCUGCAAAGACUGAAAUGUGUUUGUCAUGGAAGCUGCUGACCUGGCACCUGACAGGGAGUGAAAUGUCGCCACAUUGGAACAUUUAAUCAGGACUAUUUCCCUUUGACUUUAUCGGAAUAAGUAACAUUCACUGGAAACAUGAACAACUACACGAACAGCGGGCAGCCAUUCCAGUAUUUAGUGCAUAACGUGGAGCCUCUGUAUAAGGAGUACAAGCCUCCUCCCAGGGACCUUAUCCAGCUCCCCAGGUCUGUCAUCUACCUCCUGAUGGCCGCCCUGGUUGUGGUUGCUGUGGCGUAUGCUAUUGUGGGUCACCUCAUUAAAGAUCUCAUGCUGGACAUAACAGACUGUUUGCUGGGCCCACUUGACGAGGACCUGAGAAAAGACCGAGAGAUGGAGGGGGUCAGUCCUCUGCACAUGCCGCCCGCCCUCAGCCACUCGCACCCAAAUGCCUUUCACGUGUGGGACCAGGACGACGUCAUCAUCCCAAUGACUCCCCCGGACGAGAGCCCACAGACGAGCCCUCUGAUGGCAGUCAUCCCAUACAUACCUUCAUUUUUCCCCACCUCCCUCAGCAUUGCCAGUCCAUCCCACAAUCAUCCCAUCCCAAGGGAGAGUGACUCAUGAAUGAAGGCGUGUGAGACGGUUUUCUAUACUGCACCCGUAAUCCUUCUUUUUCGGCCCUUUCUCGCUUUGGUUGAGCUUUAGCUCCCUGUUUUUGCCUCUGAAGCACCUUUACUCACCUACUGGAAAAGGAUGUUGGGAAAGAUUCCAUUAAAAAAGUGUUAGUAUCACAAAUCCAACAGCAUCAUAUGUUGAGCAUGAAUUUCAGCUUUAAACAACAAUGAAGGCCAGUCUGGAUUCACGUCUCUUCACAUCUCUCGGUGUGACUGGUCUGUCUUUGACAAACAACACCUCCCCAGGAUCCGAGUGCAGACUGAGCUGGGGACACUCGGUGGGAUGGCCUUCACUUGUUCAUUUUCUCAGUGGAUUUGUGCCAAGUCAGCAUCUUGAUUAUUCUCCUUCUGCCAGAUGUUCACGUCCGUCCAAGCUGUGGUCAGAUGCAGGAUGUUGUCUUGCAAACGUCAGAUGUAGCGGAGUAACCCAAAGUCACUAUAACUUCAGAUCUGGACAUGAGCAUGACUGCAUAAUGUAAAAACAAUUCCACAAUAUACAUACAAUCUUCUCCGUCAGUCUAAGUGGUUUUAUAUACAGUGUACAUGCAAAAGUGUGUGUUGAAUUCAUGUGUGAAAUAAAGGUGAAUACUGGAGUUGCCUGAGGUAACGC